This 497-nucleotide ribosomal RNA is filed under the name uncultured bacterium. RNAcentral's name for it is "partial 16S ribosomal RNA". It matches the Rfam family "Bacterial small subunit ribosomal RNA", at positions 28 to 507 of the family's 1533-position model. The record is from RNAcentral.
GAUGAACGCUGGCGGCGUGCCUAAUACAUGCAAGUCGAGCGAACGGACGAGAAGCUUGCUUCUCUGAUGUUAGCGGCGGACGGGUGAGUAACACGUGGAUAACCUACCUAUAAGACUGGGAUAACUUCGGGAAACCGGAGCUAAUACCGGAUAAUAUUUUGAACCGCAUGGUUCAAAAGUGAAAGACGGUUUUGCUGUCACUUAUAGAUGGAUCCGCUCUGCAUUAGCUAGUUGGUAAGGUAACGGCUUACCAAGGCAACGAUGCAUAGCCGACCUGAGAGGGUGAUCGGCCACACUGGAACUGAGACACGGUCCAGACUCCUACGGGAGGCAGCAGUAGGGAAUCUUCCGCAAUGGGCGAAAGCCUGACGGAGCAACGCCGCGUGAGUGAUGAAGGUCUUCGGAUCGUAAAACUCUGUUAUUAGGGAAGAACAUAUGUGUAAGUAACUGUGCACGUCUUGACGUUACCUAAUCAGAAAGCCACGGCUAACUACGUG